ACCGGCCCAGGUCGGAAACGGAGCAGGUCAAAACUCCCGUGCUGAUCAGUAGUGGGAUCGCGCCUGUGAAUAGCCACUGUACUCCAGCCUGGACAACAUAGCGAGACCCCGUCUCUUUUAAAAAAAAAAAAAAAGAA
Molecule: small RNA, 137 nt
Filed under: Cervus elaphus hippelaphus
Lineage: Eukaryota; Metazoa; Chordata; Mammalia; Artiodactyla; Cervidae
Rfam family: Metazoan signal recognition particle RNA (bases 1-117)
About the family: The signal recognition particle (SRP) is a universally conserved ribonucleoprotein. It is involved in the co-translational targeting of proteins to membranes. The eukaryotic SRP consists of a 300-nucleotide 7S RNA and six proteins: SRPs 72, 68, 54, 19, 14, and 9.
Source: RNAcentral